Long non-coding RNA from Fukomys damarensis (Damara mole-rat), 972 nucleotides. RefSeq lists it as uncharacterized. Lineage: Eukaryota; Metazoa; Chordata; Mammalia; Rodentia; Bathyergidae. The record is from RefSeq and is a predicted model, not a curated record. The transcript is spliced from 3 exons.
UGGCAGGGGUAAGAUCUCAGGGCACGAUUGGCAUAGAAACCUCCCAGAAGUUCAGCAGACUCUGAGAGAGGGCACUGGAUCUGUAGAAUGAAUGCAAGGCACCGGGAAUCUUAAGGGUUCAAGAGUUGCUCUGGAGACUCCCAAAAUUCACAGAGACCAGGCCAGCAUGUCAUCUGUGCCUCCUCAAAUCCACAUGGACCCGGGCCCUUGGUUUUUAGUACUGUAAUCUUAUUUACUUCUUUUGGGAAUGGAAAGCAAAAUUGCAUAAAAUUUUAUUUGGAAAAAGUUACUGCUAAAAUUUUUCUUCUGAAAAACAACUCCGUGUACUGAAAAUUACUUACAAGUGUAUGAACUAGGUCCUGCAGGGCUCUCGCGCGCUUUUCUGUGUGAGCUUGUGCCGCACAUCUAGCUGUGCGACAGGACACGUUGACCUGGACCCGCAGCCUGGGAGCUUUCUGAGGUAAGAGAAGAUGCUCCAGACCGUCUGCUGCUCACCUCCCAAACAAACAGAAACCCUACCCUUCCCUUUGUCUCACAAAACUGAGGCUUUCAGGCAGUGACGGACCCCUGUUGGGCCGGAGGAGCGCAUCCCUGACAGUAUCCCCACGGCAGACUGGGACUUGAAUGGGAGGCUGAUUCACCCAAAAAAGUGAGAACCCAAACCCAAAACCCUAGAGAAACAGAAGAUUGGCCCCACUGCUGCCUGCCCAGAUUUGGCUGCUUGAAAGAACGUUCUCGGAUGAGCAGCACCUGAAGCCACCCAGUGUGAAUGUCAGGGGGAGAACCAGUGUGGAGAAGCUCGAAAAUCCAGUCUGAAUAUCUGCUUCUUGCGGCUUUGAAGAGGGCAGAGUCUGCCCUCAAUCUGCAGAGCUUUUGCAGGCUCUCUGCUUCCUGUGCACCAUGAGGUGAGCAGCUCUCUUCCACCAGACCCUUGCACCACCGUUGCUUCUGCCAGGAGCCGGAGGGCUAGAA